Molecule: long non-coding RNA, 1043 nt
Organism: Platichthys flesus (European flounder)
Lineage: Eukaryota; Metazoa; Chordata; Actinopteri; Pleuronectiformes; Pleuronectidae
Exons: 2
Source: RefSeq, a predicted model, not a curated record
UGGGACACUAUCGAUGACAGCCCACCGCUCAUCUGACCUCCGCGUCUCUGCCAUCACGCGACACGUUUAGUCCCCGCUGCACCACCCGGGGAAGUGUGUUUCCAGUUAGAAAUGUCCACCAGCUGACACUACAGAGCAUACACACACCUGGAGAAGUCACAGAGCACUGGAGAAGUUCUAAACUUCUCCAGUGCGUUUGACACCUUCUAGCCAGGCAGGCUGGCUCCUGAGCUCUAUGUGGUGGAGAUGGACCGGAACCUUGUGUCCUGGAUCACAGAAUACCUCACUGACAGGCCUCAGUGUGUCAGGCUGCAGGACUGCUCUUCAGACUGUUGCCUGGGACACCCCACUCCUGUCACCAUUACACCGUUGACUUCUUAUACAAUACAGGAACAUGCCAUCUACAAAAGUUCUCUGCAACUCCUCCAUCGUCGGCUACAUCGCAGAGGACAUCGAGUAUAGAGACCUGGUAGGGAGUUUUGUAGGAUGUGUGGCAGAAAUCAAUUACAGCUCAACAUUAGUCAAAUCAAGGAGCUGCAGUGGACCUCUGAGGUAGAGGAAGCUCCUCCACCACUGUUGUGAUUAAUAGAGACGGGGUGAGCCAGUUUGUUAUUCAGAUACACUGGGUCGUCAGAGUAGAGUCUUCUUAGUGUUCUUCUUGUUGCUCUGCAAAGCUUGAGUGAACAAAGACAGUAUUCAGCCCUAAUUUUAUCAUCUACAUGUUAAUCCCCGUCAGUUAGUUGUAGUAGUAGCAGUAUUUGUCCUUUAGGUACUCUGGUUGAGCCUGUGGUAAUGUCAGUGUGCUGAGACGGAUGGGGAGAUCUUUUUUUGUUCUAAAGCUACUCGUUCCACAUGCCACGUUUGGAGUGAAAGUAGUGGAAGAAGUUCCUCAAGUAGAUCCUAUCCACUUCCAAGCCGGACUUAAUGAUCCUAGAACAGAGGGACAGUAUUUGGGUUUAGUAUUAGGUUCAAGCAUAAGAAAAAACAUGAGAGGAGGAAGAUGUCAUUGGUGCAUGUGACAAUAAACUUUGAUUUGAUUUUGA